Molecule: long non-coding RNA, 2586 nt
Filed under: Gossypium barbadense (sea-island cotton)
Lineage: Eukaryota; Viridiplantae; Streptophyta; Magnoliopsida; Malvales; Malvaceae
Description: long non-coding RNA (GBAR_LNC011310)
Source: RNAcentral
CCUUUCUUGGCUGAUCCCUUUCGCUGUAUGGCGUGCUCGUUUGGGUUGGGCGUCGGCUAAGAGUGCUCGGAGCGUGGAUUAACUCUAGUCUCCUAUCAGGUGUGUAUUUCUCACUACUCUAGCUGUAGGAUGGCUACUUCGGGCUGCGAUGGGCCGAAAGGGAUCAUGUGGGCCCAGUGGGCCUGCGGGCCCAAUUGGAUAAGUUGUUUGAUUGUGUAGUAAAUAUUAGAUAGGCUAGGUGAAUCUCAUAUCUGUGGUUAGUUUGGGCUAAAAGGGCCACACUAGUGUGUGGGCCCAUUUGGGCCGAGAAUAGGCUUUAGGCCCAUUCGUAUUAUUAUCCCUGUUUAGAAUACUUUAGUUUACUAAAAUUACCGAAAUACCCUUAGUUGUAAAAAUACUGAAAUACCCUCGAUUUGUAAAAUUACUGAAAUACCUUCGACUUGUAAAAUUACCAAAGUACCCCCGAUUUACAGAAUUACUGUUUUACCCCCGAUUUACAUAAUUACCAUUUUACCCCCGAUUUACAUAAUUAUCGUUUUACCCUCAACUUACAAAAUUAUCGUUUUACCCUUGAUUUACAGAAUUACCGUUUUACCCUCAAUUUAUAGAAUUACUGUUUUACCCUUGAUUUAUAGAAUUACUAUUUUACCCUCGAUUUACAAAAUUACUAAAAUACCCUUGGUUUGUAAAAUUACCAAAAUACCCCUAGUUUGUAAAAUUACCAAAAUACCCUUGGUUUGUGAAAUUACCGAAAUACCUUCAAUUUAUAAAAUUACCAAAAUACCCCUGAUUUACAAAGUUACAGAAAUACCCUUGACUUUCUAAAAAUUAUAGAAAUACCAUUGGUUUACAAAAUUACUGAAAUACCUUUGGUUUGUUGAUUUACCAAAACACCCUUGUAGGAAGAAAUGACUAAAAUACCCCUAUUAGGGUAAAGUGACCGUAAAGCCCUUGUAGGGUAAAGUGACCGUAAUACCCCUGUAUGGUAAAAUGACGAAUAUGCCCUUAUGUUCCGUAUGACUGAUGUGCUUAGGAUUUACAUAUAUUGAUAUUGGAUUAGUUAAGUUUGAGUGAUAGGUGGUGGUUAUCGUAGGCGAUUGAUUUUGGAAACAUUUCAACUUCAACCCGUAACAGGUGUGUACUAACCCUCGUAAUAGCUUAGAUUAAUAUUUGCUGAGAAGUCGAAUUGCUAAAAUACCGGUAUUUCGAGAACUUGUAAUGUUGCGUUUGGGUAUAGAUGCGAUAAAUAUGAUAAGAUCGGUGUUUGGAUCGAUGGAACAGGUAAGAACUCAAUUUUGUGCACAAUGGUAAGUUGGGCCUCAAUGGGCUGAAAUUGGGCCCCAUGGGCUUUCGGACCCAUUUGGGUAGAAUUGAUAGAAAAUGGAAUUUGGAAAAGUUGCACGUUAACACGGUUAGUAUUGUUGUAAAAUUUGGGUUAAGUAGGCUAAAUCAGCAUUCGUAGGGCCUAUUAGGGGUUUUGGGCCAAAAGCCUGAAUUUGAUAAAGUGGGUUAAAGAUCAUUGUUUAAACACUCGGAAAUAUUGAUAAUUGUAAUGAACAUGGAAAACCCUGAUAUUUGGUAAAAUUACGACAAUACCCUUAUAAUGUGAAAAAUGAUUGUUGUGCCCUUGUGGGCAAGUGACUGACUUGGACUGUGUGGUUGACGUAUUUGAUUGUGAAUAUAUGUUGGUGAUAUGAAUGACUUGACUGUGAUUGUUUAAUUCAAAUAUGGGCAUGACAUUCUACAUACAUGACAUGUUGCAUUGGGUUGGGUUUUUAUAUGGAUGGAGGAAGUGUAAAAAGGCUUAUGCCCCAGUUUACCGAAAAGGGCUUAUGCCCCAGUUUAUUGAAAAGGGCUUAUGCCCCAGUUUACCGAAAAGGGCUUUGCCUCAGUUAUUGAAAAGGCUAGGCCUCCUGAUAUAUGAUAAAGCAGCUAUGCUGCCAGUGGUGUGUUGGUUGAGUGGGUUGAGUUAUUCCCCACAUGGUGUGUUGGUUGGUACGGGUGGAGAGUAGCGGAUGGUGGGUUGAGUAGUCUCCCCAAAUGGGCUUGCAUACAUUUAUUGGUAUUUCAUGUGAUAUUGAAAUGGGCUUGCAUACAUCCAUUGACAUUACAUGUGAUAUUGAAAUGGGCCUAUGGGCCAUACCAUUUAUAGUAAAGGCUUCGGCCCAGUGAAAUGAUUUAUGAAAAGGCUUUGGCCCAGUUAUAUGAUUUAUGAAAAGGCUUCGGCCCAGUAUAUGUCAAGACUAAAUAGGGCUUUGCCCAGAUUGUAUUGAUACUGUGUUUUCACUGUUUGUUUGUUAUUGGGAUUACACACUGAGUUUUCAUAAACUCACCCCAUUUCUAACUGUGCAGGUAAUCCCUAAGCUUAGAUGGUUUGGAGCUGCGAGGGACUCGGAGAUGGCCAUACUACUGUUUCUGUUUCUUUUAAUUGCAAUAAGUAGCCGAUUUAUUUCCUUAUAAGUUUUAUCUUAUUAAUAUUAUUAUUUGGUUUUGGGUUGUAAUAAGGCCAUUUUAAUUAUUUUUAUGGGAUUAUUUUAUUUUUAAUUUUAUUCUGUUUGUCAAUAAAUGGGCUAGACUUAGGACGUG